UCUUUAGGUUUCAUUUCUUUAAUUACGCUGCGUCUAAAACACGCACAAAAGGUCUACGUGGGGUCUUCGUCGAAUAAAUUUAAAGAUACGAAGAGAUUUAACGCGUGUCGAGCACACCCCUGAUGGUAGUUGCACAGGGUGCGCCCCGAGGGGCUACGAGGGUUUCCAGGGCCGGUCGCUAGGCAACUGGCGCCUCCACCCUCGAAGGACAACGUGCUUUUCCAUGCUCCCCCAUCUACAGGGUGAUCGGUCAAAAUACGAGAGUUUCACGUCCAUCGUGCACGUGACGAAUAUCUGGAAGACAACGUCUGGACUCCUGGGGAGAUCCACACAAGGAACGCGUCUGGCAUACAACAUCUGACUGAUUCGAGAAGGUUGCCAACGAACAAGCUAAUUAAAAUAAGUGCACGUUUUACCGAAUAACUGUCAAUUAUAGUCGUUGUUGAAUGCUAUACAAGGGAUGUAAAUUCUUUAAUUAAGAAUCUUUUUCGAUGAUGAUUUUUUAAUAUAAUUCUUAAUAUAAAGUAAUCACUCGCUAAAGAAUUUUUGUAGAUCGCAGUAAUUUGUGAUUAUGUCCUUUAAGAAUUAUUACAGGUAGCUCUGUAUUUUCUUUUUAAUUUUUAUAUAAUUUAAUAAAGUUUGUUCCCAAUUAUAUUUAUGUCUCAAAUCAGUUCUCAGUUUUCAAUUGUAAUAAUUGUUGGAUUUUCGAAUGGCGAAGAUGUGGUUGUAAAUUGCGAAUACAUUUUUUAAAUUGAUAAUUCAAUAAUAUUUAAGACUAGGUAGCUGUCUUUUUGUCAUCGCCGAAUAUCUUUGUUACUGUAAAUUAUAUCGAGUUAACGAGUUUAGCUUUUUUUAAGUUUUCCUCAGUAAUUGAAUACCUAUUAUUUUCGUAAAUAGUUUUAACAUUCUGAUAAUAAUUUAACUCAUAAAUGAUCGGUAACUGCUUAAACAAAUAAGCCUACUUUAAUCAUAAUUAUAUUCAAGCUCAUGAGAAACUUUAGCAGAAGUUCUACGAAUGAUUGAUAAAUCGUAAAUUUAUAUAACGCUAUACUACAAUAUCAUAUACGUAGACGAUCGUCUACAAC
This 1085-nucleotide unclassified non-coding RNA is filed under the name Bombus terrestris (buff-tailed bumblebee). RNAcentral describes it as "misc RNA ENSBTSG00005036068.1". The record is from RNAcentral. Lineage: Eukaryota; Metazoa; Arthropoda; Insecta; Hymenoptera; Apidae.